This 497-nucleotide ribosomal RNA is filed under the name uncultured bacterium. Its description in RNAcentral is "partial 16S ribosomal RNA". It matches the Rfam family "Bacterial small subunit ribosomal RNA", at positions 28 to 507 of the family's 1533-position model. The record is from RNAcentral.
GAUGAACGCUGGCGGCGUGCCUAAUACAUGCAAGUCGAGCGAACAGACGAGGAGCUUGCUCCUCUGACGUUAGCGGCGGACGGGUGAGUAACACGUGGAUAACCUACCUAUAAGACUGGGAUAACUUCGGGAAACCGGAGCUACUACCGGAAAAUAUAUUGAACCGCAUGGUUCAAUAGUGAAAGACGGUUUUGCUGUCACUUAUAGAUGGAUCCGCGCCGCAUUAGCUAGUUGGUAAGGUAACGGCUUACCAAGGCAACGAUGCGUAGCCGACCUGAGAGGGUGAACGACCACACUGGAACUGAGACACGGUCCAGACUCCUACGGGAGGCAGCAGUAGGGAAUCUUCCGCGAUGGGGGAAAGCCUGACGGAGCGACGCCGCGUGAGUGAUGAAGGUCUUCGGAUCGUAGAACUCUGUUAUUAGGGAAGAACAAAUGUGUAAGUAACUAUGCACGUCUUGACGGUACCUAGUCAAGAAGCCACGGCUAACUACGUG